AAGCAUUUUAAUGCAAGAGAGUGGGAAUUUUUCGCCGUGUGUGUGUGUGUGUGUGUGUGUGUGUGUGUUAGCCGAUUCUCAAAGUUGUUGUCUGCCAGUGUGCAUUAUUUUUAGCCGGACGAUCUUGGCUUUGGCGCCAGCGGGUUAAGACAUGCUCACACACCAUCAUAAGUUACAUCUGAUCAUCCGUUUGUCAAUUCGCAUUUAGGAAUGAAUAUGUCGCUGGCCUCACACACACACACACACACACACACACACACACACACAAAAAUAUAAUCUCGCUGGCCUUCAGAUAAUUAUCAGCUUCCUUUUAUCCGGUGCCAGCUGUCUUUUGCGACAUGUUUUAAAGCAAAUAAUGAUUCGGGCUUUAGUAAGGGAGAUAAACGCGAGGCGGGCAUUUGGUCUGCUAUAUCGCUCCUAAAGAACCGCUGCACAACACGAUGGGUGACGAGUUUCACACACAUUUGAAAUGACAAGGCAUUAGGACAUUAAAAUAUAAGGGGUGUGGAAGGUGUUGAAAGACUACAUCUCUAAUACGGAAGAUAAGCUCAGCCAGCGGUGACACGCUUCACACGCUCUCCCAACCGAUAAAAAUGAGCAUUGAUAGCACUCCAGUCCUUGGAAAUCCUGGACUAUUUUCACGCUCCAUGGCUCUUAACCUAAGUGGUCAACAUUCUAUAGAGCCUGAAAAAAGACAAUCCAUUGGAGAACACACCCUUCCUCGUGAAAAUAUUGAACUAUUCAGCCUGAAGAUCAACUGCGGACAUCAUGUCCUCAUUCACCUUGCUCAUUCCCCGUGACAAUGGAACUGCAGGUGCACUUAUCCUCGAUAUGAUAACUGGCGCGCGGAGAUAUUACUUUUGCUUUUAAUGUUAAUGCUAAUGAAUUAAUAUGCGGACACCAAUCUUUGACAUAAAGUACCCUGCGCUGACUGAAAACGACUGUAACACAUUAUGACCAGAUCCACAAUAAAGAGU
Callorhinchus milii (elephant shark) is the source of this 977-nucleotide long non-coding RNA. RefSeq lists it as uncharacterized. Lineage: Eukaryota; Metazoa; Chordata; Chondrichthyes; Chimaeriformes; Callorhinchidae. The transcript is spliced from 5 exons. The record is from RefSeq and is a predicted model, not a curated record.